GGCACAGUGGACGCUCACAGCCCCAGGGGCUACGUGGAGGUGGCUGUUCUGGGGAGAGCGCGACUCCUGGUUUGCACGUGGGGCUCGGGAAAGGCCACCCUCUGGGGGGGGGCUCUCAGUAGGCCCGCCCUCCCCUCAGCACCCAAGCAUGCGAGUGCUUCAUGGCAGCCACCUCCAUGUCCCGGUCCCCUGUCCAUCACCUGGCACUCCUGCUUUUCGCCUUGGUUGGGGUCUCGUUCUGGGUCUGAGACAAGCGUUGGGGUUUCUGGUGGGUGGGGGGCUGCUUGCAUGGCAGCGUUGAGCCUGUUUGGAUGGGAGUUUCAGUUUGGGGGGCUUCUGGGGCAGCUGGUCUUCGGGGGACAGUGUACACACUAGGAUUGGCCUGGGGGCUCUCUUCCUGCCCUGUGUGCACGGAGAGGCUGGUGGUGGGACGCUGACCCGAGUCCUGGGCAAGCGGCUCCGGCAUGGACGCCACCGCCCGGAGCUCUACUUGUGAGCAGGAGGCCCUCGCCAGAGACCAGGGGCCCCAUGCAGGUUUGGGAGCUCCUUCUGUCACCCCCACGUGAGGCAGAGAGGCCGGGAGCCUGACGAGCCUCCUCAGGAGAGGCUGACACCCACGCCGGUCACGCAUCUGGGCAGCGGUGCAGCAACCUGGACCAGGCCUUUCACAGGUUGGGUGGCGGCUGGGGCUGCGCAGCACCAGCCGCAGUGACCUCCUGCCCACGGUCCGGUCCGUUGCUGGCUGUCAGUGGGUGUUCGGGUCAUGAUGGGGAAGCCUGUUCUCGGGCCCUGUCCCCUCCUGCAUUUCCCCCAGUGACACCCUCCUGGUGUCUGUAGGAACCCGGGGGGUGGGGGGUGCUGUCUGUCCAGGUCCCCGCCUAGGGUGGUAGGCCUGCAGGCGGGGCAGCCUCCCGCAGCUCCUCCCUCAGGCAGAGUGGCUGGGCGAGUGAAGGGGCGCGAGUGCGGGCACCAGGGCGCACACUGCACUCUGACACCGGCCACUUCUUCCUCCCCAGCUGCCGGGCCGCAGGUACCGCCCCGGGUACAACGCCGACGUGGGCGACAAGUGGAUCUGGCUGAAGUGAGCGGCGCCCACCAGGCUGUCACGGCACGAGGACGCCUCUGUCCCGUCCCUCUCACGGACUCCACGGAGCUGUGCAGCUGCGGGAUGCAGAUGGUGGUGAGCUGCGCGGAGGGCCCAGCAAAUGCAGCCCACCCAGUGCGGCCUGUGGAGUUUGGGAAACAACUUCUCUUGCCGGCCUCGGGCCUUCUGGCUGUGUUCUGAAGUCACCGUGAUUGUCACUGGGGAGGAGCGGCAUUUGCUGUCAAGCCCAGCUGUCGCCGAGGCGUGGUGUCCGCCCAGCUCCGUCACCACGGUGGCGCGCUGUUCCUCUGACUUGAAGAAAUAAAGCCGUUGCUGUGGAGUCCCCUCCGCGUCUGCACA
Molecule: long non-coding RNA, 1444 nt
Filed under: Marmota monax (woodchuck)
Lineage: Eukaryota; Metazoa; Chordata; Mammalia; Rodentia; Sciuridae
Source: RNAcentral